GCUCCGGUGGUGGAACUGGCAUACACAGCAGACUUAAAAUCUGCCGCCCGAAAGGGAUUACGGGUUCAAUUCCCGUUCGGAGCACCA
RNAcentral lists this transfer RNA (87 nucleotides) under Caudoviricetes sp. RNAcentral describes it as "tRNA-Leu". It matches the Rfam family "tRNA". From Rfam's summary of the family: Transfer RNA (tRNA) molecules are approximately 80 nucleotides in length. Their secondary structure includes four short double-helical elements and three loops (D, anti-codon, and T loops). The record is from RNAcentral. Lineage: Duplodnaviria; Heunggongvirae; Uroviricota; Caudoviricetes.